Molecule: ribosomal RNA, 464 nt
Filed under: uncultured bacterium
Lineage: Bacteria
Description: partial 16S ribosomal RNA
Rfam family: Bacterial small subunit ribosomal RNA
Source: RNAcentral
GACGAACGCUGGCGGCGUGCCUAACACAUGCAAGUCGAGCGAAUGAAGUUCCUUCGGGAAUGGAUUUAGCGGCGGACGGGUGAGUAACACGUGGGCAACCUGCCUCAUAGAGGGGAAUAGCCUUCCGAAAGGGAGAUUAAUACCGCAUAAGAUUGUAGUAUCGCAUGAUACAGCAAUUAAAGGAGCAAUCCGCUAUGAGAUGGGCCCGCGGCGCAUUAGCUAGUUGGUGAGGUAACGGCUCACCAAGGCGACGAUGCGUAGCCGACCUGAGAGGGUGAUCGGCCACAUUGGGACUGAGACACGGCCCAGACUCCUACGGGAGGCAGCAGUGGGGAAUAUUGCACAAUGGGGGAAACCCUGAUGCAGCAACGCCGCGUGAGUGAUGACGGCCUUCGGGUUGUAAAGCUCUGUCUUCAGGGACGAUAAUGACGGUACCUGUGGAGGAAGCCACGGCUAACUACGUG